RNAcentral lists this microRNA precursor (67 nucleotides) under Bombyx mori (domestic silkworm). RNAcentral's name for it is "mir-2774 microRNA precursor family". It matches the Rfam family "mir-2774 microRNA precursor family". Lineage: Eukaryota; Metazoa; Arthropoda; Insecta; Lepidoptera; Bombycidae. The record is from Rfam by way of RNAcentral.
ACAACAUUCGGACCGUCGGUCUACCGAGCAAUAUCACCCGCUCGGUGGAAGAUCUUCUCUCUGUCGU